This 441-nucleotide ribosomal RNA is filed under the name uncultured bacterium. RNAcentral describes it as "partial 16S ribosomal RNA". It matches the Rfam family "Bacterial small subunit ribosomal RNA", at positions 338 to 795 of the family's 1533-position model. The record is from RNAcentral.
CCUACGGGUGGCAGCAGUGGGGGAUAUUGCACAAUGGGGGAAACCCUGAUGCAGCGACGCCGCGUGGGUGAAGAAGUAUUUCGGUAUGUAAAGUCCUAUCAGCAGGGAAGAAAGAAGACGGUACCUGACUAAGAAGCCCCGGCUAACUACGUGCCAGCAGCGCCGGUAAUACGUAGGGGGUGAGCGUUAUCCGGAUUCACUGGGUGUAAAGGGAGCGUAGACGGCCGUGCAAGCCAGGAGUGAAAGCCCGGGGCCCAACCCCGGGACGGCUCUUGUAACUGGGCGGCUAGAGUGCGGGAGGGGCAGGCGGAAUUCCUGGUGUAGCGGUGAAAUGCGUAGAUAUCAGGAGGAACACCGGCGGCGAAGGCGAACUGCUAGAACGUAACUGACGCUGAUGCGCGAAAGCGUGGGGAGCAAACAGGAUUAGAUACCCUUGUAGUC